UGGGGAAUAUUGGACAAUGGGCGCAAGCCUGAUCCAGCCAUGCCGCGUGAGUGAUGAAGGCCCUAGGGUUGUAAAGCUCUUUCACCGGUGAAGAUAAUGACGGUAACCGGAGAAGAAGCCCGGGCUAACUUCGUGCCAGCAGCCGCGGUAAUACGAAGGGGGCUAGCGUUGUUCGGAUUUACUGGGCGUAAAGCGCACGUAGGCGGACUUUUAAGUCAGGGGUGAAAUCCCGGGGCUCAACCCCGGAACUGCCUUUGAUACUGGAAGUCUUGAGUAUGGUAGAGGUGAGUGGAAUUCCGAGUGUAGAGGUGAAAUUCGUAGAUAUUCGGAGGAACACCAGUGGCGAAGGCGGCUCACUGGACCAUUACUGACGCUGAGGUGCGAAAGCGUGGGGAGCAAACAGG
This 404-nucleotide ribosomal RNA is filed under the name Actinomycetes bacterium. RNAcentral's name for it is "Actinobacteria bacterium partial 16S ribosomal RNA". It matches the Rfam family "Bacterial small subunit ribosomal RNA", at positions 355 to 776 of the family's 1533-position model. Lineage: Bacteria; Bacillati; Actinomycetota; Actinomycetes. The record is from RNAcentral.